RNAcentral lists this RNase P RNA (330 nucleotides) under Thermotogota bacterium. RNAcentral's name for it is "Thermotogae bacterium RNase P RNA component class A". It matches the Rfam family "Bacterial RNase P class A". From Rfam's summary of the family: Ribonuclease P (RNase P) is a ubiquitous endoribonuclease, found in archaea, bacteria and eukarya as well as chloroplasts and mitochondria. Its best characterised activity is the generation of mature 5'-ends of tRNAs by cleaving the 5'-leader elements of precursor-tRNAs. The record is from RNAcentral. Lineage: Bacteria; Thermotogati; Thermotogota.
AGAGAGGGACGGGUGAUCGCGGGAUUUUUUCCCGAGGAAAGUCCGGACUCCAAGGGCGGGGUGCUGGGUAACACCCAGAAGGAGUGAUCCUUGGAUAGUGCCAUAGAAAAGGAAACCGCCCUCUCCAGGGCAAGGGUGGAAAGGUGAGGUAAGAGCUCACCAGCAUUGGGGUAACCCAAUGGCUUGGUAAACCCCACCCGGAGCAAGGCCAAGCAGGGGUGAGUGGUCCCGCUCUAUCCCCCGGGUAGGCCGCUUGAGAAGGGCGGAAACGCUCUUUCUCAGAUAGAUGAUCACCCUCGACAGAAUCCGGCUUACAGUCCCUCUCUGUCU